This 335-nucleotide ribosomal RNA is filed under the name uncultured bacterium. RNAcentral's name for it is "bacterial SSU rRNA". It matches the Rfam family "Bacterial small subunit ribosomal RNA", at positions 28 to 334 of the family's 1533-position model. The record is from RNAcentral.
GAUGAACGCUGGCGGCGUGCUUAACACAUGCAAGUCGAACGGGGUUAUCAUUUUUGAAGCGAUUAGCUUGCUAAGAGUGGAAAAGUUGAUAACUUAGUGGCGGACGGGUGAGUAACGCGUGGGUAACCUGCCUUACACAGGGGGAUAACACUUAGAAAUAGGUGCUAAUACCGCAUAAGCGCACAGUCCCGCAUGGGACAGAGUGAAAAACAUUAGUGGUGUAAGAUGGACCCGCGUCUGAUUAGCUUGUUGGCGGGGUAACGGCCCACCAAGGCGACGAUCAGUAGCCGGCCUGAGAGGGUGGACGGCCACAUUGGGACUGAGACACGGCCCAA